AUACGAAAGGUGCAAGCGUUGUUCGGAUUUACUGGGCGUAAAGAGAGUGUAGGUUGUUUAUUAAGUCGGAUGUGAAAUCCCGGGGCUCAACCUCGGAACUGCAUUCGAUACUGAUAGGCUAGAGUUUGGGAGGGGUAAGCGGAAUUCCGUGUGUAGCAGUGAAAUGCGUAGAUAUACGGAGGAACACCUGAGGCGAAGGCGGCUUACUGGACCAAUACUGACACUGAGACUCGAAAGCGAGGGUAGCAAACAGGAUUAGAAACCCUAGUAGUCC
This 274-nucleotide ribosomal RNA is filed under the name uncultured bacterium. Its description in RNAcentral is "partial 16S ribosomal RNA". It matches the Rfam family "Bacterial small subunit ribosomal RNA", at positions 523 to 796 of the family's 1533-position model. The record is from RNAcentral.